GCCGGCGUAGCUCAGAGGUAGAGCAACUGAUUCGUAAUCAGUAGGUCGCGGGUUCAAAUCCCAUCGCCGGCUCCA
This 75-nucleotide transfer RNA is filed under the name Desulfobacterales bacterium. RNAcentral's name for it is "tRNA-Thr". It matches the Rfam family "tRNA". From Rfam's summary of the family: Transfer RNA (tRNA) molecules are approximately 80 nucleotides in length. Their secondary structure includes four short double-helical elements and three loops (D, anti-codon, and T loops). Further hydrogen bonds mediate the characteristic L-shaped molecular structure. tRNAs have two regions of fundamental functional importance: the anti-codon, which is responsible for specific mRNA codon recognition, and the 3' end, to which the tRNAs corresponding amino acid is attached (by aminoacyl-tRNA synthetases). tRNAs cope with the degeneracy of the genetic code in two manners: having more than one tRNA (with a specific anti-codon) for a particular amino acid; and 'wobble' base-pairing, i.e. permitting non-standard base-pairing at the 3rd anti-codon position. The record is from RNAcentral. Lineage: Bacteria; Pseudomonadati; Thermodesulfobacteriota; Desulfobacteria; Desulfobacterales.